ACUUAGUGAUCCGGUGGUUCCGCAUGGAAGGGCCAUCGCUCAACGGAUAAAAGCUACCCCGGGGAUAACAGGCUUAUCUCCCCCAAGAGUUCACAUCGACGGGGAGGUUUGGCACCUCGAUGUCGGCUCAUCGCAUCCUGGGGCUGUAGUCGGUCCCAAGGGUUGGGCUGUUCGCCCAUUAAAGCGGUACGCGAGCUGGGUUCAGAACGUCGUGAGACAGUUCGGUCCCUAUCCGUCGUGGGCGUAGGAAAUUUGAGAGGAGCUGUCCUUAGUACGAGAGGACCGGGAUGGACAUACCUCUGGUGUACCAGUUGUCGUGCCAACGGCAUAGCUGGGUAGCUAUGUGUGGACGGGAUAAGUGCUGAAAGCAUCUAAGCAUGAAGCCCCCCUCAAGAUGAGAUUUCCCAACUUCGGUUAUAAGAUCCCUCAAAGAUGAUGAGGUUAAUA
RNAcentral lists this ribosomal RNA (447 nucleotides) under Staphylococcus aureus. RNAcentral describes it as "partial 23S ribosomal RNA". It matches the Rfam family "Bacterial large subunit ribosomal RNA", at positions 2410 to 2858 of the family's 2925-position model. Lineage: Bacteria; Bacillati; Bacillota; Bacilli; Caryophanales; Staphylococcaceae. The record is from RNAcentral.